GAUGAACGCUGGCGGCGUGCCUAAUACAUGCAAGUCGAGCGAAUGGAUUAAGAGCUUGCUCUUAUGAAGUUAGCGGCGGACGGGUGAGUAACACGUGGGUAACCUGCCCAUAAGACUGGGAUAACUCCGGGAAACCGGGGCUAAUACCGGAUAACAUUUUGAACCGCAUGGUUCGAAAUUGAAAGGCGGCUUCGGCUGUCACUUAUGGAUGGUCCCGCGUCGAAUUAGCUCGGUGGUGAGGUAACGGCUCACCAAGGCAACGAUGCGUAGCCGACCGGAGAGGGUGAUCGGCCACACCGGGACUGAGGCACGGCCCAGACUCCUUCGGGAGGCAGCAGUAGGGAAUCUUCCGCAAUGGACGAAAGUCUGACGGAGCAACGCCGCGUGAGUGAUGAAGGCUUUCGGGUCGUAAAACUCUGUUGUUAGGGAAGAACAAGUGCUAGUUGAAUAAGCUGGCACCUUGACGGUACCUAACCAGAAAGCCACGGCUAACUACGUGCCAGCAGCCGCAGUAA
Molecule: ribosomal RNA, 515 nt
Filed under: uncultured bacterium
Lineage: Bacteria
Description: partial 16S ribosomal RNA
Rfam family: Bacterial small subunit ribosomal RNA
Source: RNAcentral